This 312-nucleotide ribosomal RNA is filed under the name Triticum aestivum (bread wheat). Its description in RNAcentral is "partial small subunit ribosomal RNA". Lineage: Eukaryota; Viridiplantae; Streptophyta; Magnoliopsida; Poales; Poaceae. The record is from RNAcentral.
AUGUGGCACUAUCCUUUUAUCAUUGAGCCACUUUCUCUAAUCUUCAGGCAAGCACCCGAAGCAAUUAUUGCCGCCAUAAACGAGAGAUGCGGCACACAUGUAGAUCCACACGUACACAGAAUGAAUGACCGAAGAAAACUAGAUGUGGAUCGAGGGUGGCGGCUCGGAAGGGUUCCCUCAGCGUCGACCUCUCCUGCUGCUUGGUGGCGAGAUGUAAUCGUCCAUAGUGGUCCGAGGUACAAGAAGGAGGACUCGGAAUGUGGUGUUUACUCAAUUGUGAAGCACAAGACAUUUUCCUUAAGGGAUGCAUGA